AUACGGAGGAUCCGAGCGUUAUCCGGAUUUAUUGGGUUUAAAGGGUGCGCAGGCGGCCAUUUAAGUCAGCGGUUAAAUCGUGGGGCUCAACCCCAUUCUGCCGUUGAUACUGGGUGGCUUGAUUGCGGUCGAGGUUGGCGGAAUUCGUUGUGUAGCGGUGAAAUGCAUAGAUAUGACGAAGAACACCGAUUGCGUAGGCAGCUGACCAGACCGCAAAUGACGCUCAUGCACGAAAGUGCGGGGAUCGAACAGGAUUAGAUACCCUGGUAGUCCGCACAGUAAACGAUGAAUACUUGUUUUCGGCGAUAUAAUGUCGGAGGCAAAGCGAAAGCGAUAAGUAUUCCACCUGGGGGGUACGCCGGCAACGGUGAAACUCAAAUGAAUUGACGGGG
Molecule: ribosomal RNA, 392 nt
Filed under: uncultured bacterium
Lineage: Bacteria
Description: partial 16S ribosomal RNA
Rfam family: Bacterial small subunit ribosomal RNA
Source: RNAcentral